Molecule: ribosomal RNA, 460 nt
Filed under: uncultured bacterium
Lineage: Bacteria
Description: partial 16S ribosomal RNA
Rfam family: Bacterial small subunit ribosomal RNA
Source: RNAcentral
CCUGCGGGAGGCAGCAGUGAGGAAUAUUGGUCAAUGGACGCAAGUCUGAACCAUCCAUGCCGCGUGCAGGAAGACGGCUCUAUGAGUUGUAAACUGCUUUUGUACGAGGGUAAACGCAGAUACGCGUAUCUGUCUGAAAGUAUCGUACGAAUAAGGAUCGGCUAACUCCGUGCCAGCAGCCGCGGUAAUACGGAGGAUUCAAGCGUUAUCCGGAUUUAGUGGGGUUAAAGGGUGCGUAGGCGGUUCGAUAAGUUAGAGGUGAAAUCCCGGGGCUCAACUCCGGCACUGCCUCUGAUACUGUCGGGCUAGAGUUUAGUUGCGGUAGGCGGAAUGUAUGGUGUAGCGGUGAAAUGCAUAGAGAUCAUACAGAACACCGAUUGCGAAGGCAGCUUACCAAACUACGACUGACGUUGAGGCACGAAAGCGUGGGGAGCAAACAGGAUUAGAUACCCCAGUAGUC